CGGGGUGUGGUGUAACGGCACAAAGCAUCCGAGUCUUGGGCACUCGUGGCGAUGGUUCAACUCCAUCCACCCCGACCA
This 78-nucleotide transfer RNA is filed under the name Acidobacteriota bacterium. RNAcentral describes it as "tRNA-Pro". It matches the Rfam family "tRNA". Rfam says of the family: Transfer RNA (tRNA) molecules are approximately 80 nucleotides in length. Their secondary structure includes four short double-helical elements and three loops (D, anti-codon, and T loops). Further hydrogen bonds mediate the characteristic L-shaped molecular structure. tRNAs have two regions of fundamental functional importance: the anti-codon, which is responsible for specific mRNA codon recognition, and the 3' end, to which the tRNAs corresponding amino acid is attached (by aminoacyl-tRNA synthetases). tRNAs cope with the degeneracy of the genetic code in two manners: having more than one tRNA (with a specific anti-codon) for a particular amino acid; and 'wobble' base-pairing, i.e. permitting non-standard base-pairing at the 3rd anti-codon position. Lineage: Bacteria; Pseudomonadati; Acidobacteriota. The record is from RNAcentral.